UGGGGAAUUUUGGACAAUUGGGCGAAAGCCUGAUCCAGCAAUGCCGCGUGUGUGAAGAAGGCCUUCGGGUUGUAAAGCACUUUUGUCCGGAAAGAAAUCCUUGGCUCUAAUACAGUCGGGGGAUGACGGUACCGGAAGAAUAAGCACCGGCUAACUACGUGCCAGCAGCCGCGGUAAUACGUAGGGUGCAAGCGUUAAUCGGAAUUACUGGGCGUAAAGCGUGCGCAGGCGGUUUGCUAAGACCGAUGUGAAAUCCCCGGGCUCAACCUGGGAACUGCAUUGGUGACUGGCAGGCUAGAGUAUGGCAGAGGGGGGUAGAAUUCCACGUGUAGCAGUGAAAUGCGUAGAGAUGUGGAGGAAUACCGAUGGCGAAGGCAGCCCCCUGGGCAAGUACUGACGCUCAUGCACGAAAGCGUGGGGAGCAAACGGAUUAAUNCCCUGGUAGUCCACGCCCCUAAANGAUGUCAACUAGUUGUUGGGGAUUCAUUUUCCUUAGUAACGUAGCUAACGCGUGAAGUUGACCGCCUGGGGAGUACGGUCGCAAGAUUAAAACUCAAAUAAUUGACGGGGUC
Molecule: ribosomal RNA, 572 nt
Filed under: uncultured bacterium
Lineage: Bacteria
Description: partial 16S ribosomal RNA
Rfam family: Bacterial small subunit ribosomal RNA
Source: RNAcentral